RNAcentral lists this ribosomal RNA (357 nucleotides) under uncultured bacterium. RNAcentral's name for it is "bacterial SSU rRNA". It matches the Rfam family "Bacterial small subunit ribosomal RNA", at positions 28 to 386 of the family's 1533-position model. The record is from RNAcentral.
GACGAACGCUGGCGGCGUGGAUUAGGCAUGCAAGUCGAACGGUAUAUAUUCUUUCGGGGAUAUAGAGAGUGGCGAACGGGUGAGUAACGCGUAGGUAAUCUACCUUCAAGUGGGGGACAACCCAGGGAAACUUGGGCUAAUACCGCAUGUGGCAGUAAUGCUAAAGCCGGCCUCUGAAUAUGCUGGUGCUUGGAGAUGAGCCUGCGUCUGAUUAGCUAGUUGGCGGGGUAACGGCCCACCAAGGCGAUGAUAAGUAGGCGGCUUUAACGAGUGGUCGCCCACACUGGGAUUGAGAUACGGCCCAGACUCCUACGGGAGGCAGCAGUCGAGGAUAGUCUACAAUGGUCGAGAGAUUGA